RNAcentral lists this ribosomal RNA (395 nucleotides) under uncultured bacterium. RNAcentral's name for it is "partial 16S ribosomal RNA". It matches the Rfam family "Bacterial small subunit ribosomal RNA", at positions 523 to 918 of the family's 1533-position model. The record is from RNAcentral.
AUACGUAGGGUGCAAGCGUUAAUCGGAAUUACUGGGCGUAAAGCGUGCGCAGGCGGUUUUGUAAGACAGAGGUGAAAUCCCCGGGCUCAACCUGGGAACUGCCUUUGUGACUGCAAGGCUAGAGUACGGCAGAGGGGGAUGGAAUUCCGCGUGUAGCAGUGAAAUGCGUAGAUAUGCGGAGGAACACCGAUGGCGAAGGCAAGUCCCUGGGCCUUUAAUGACGCGCGUGCACGAAAGCGUGGGGAGAAAACAGGAGUAGAUACCCUGGUAGUCGACGCCCUAAAGGAUGUCAACUUGUUGUUUGGUCUUCAUCGACUCAGUAACUAAGGUAACGCGUGAAGGUGUCCGCCUGGGGAGUACGGCCUCAAGGUUGAAACUUAAAGGAAUUGACGGGG